GCACGAAGGAAGCUGGGCCGCGUCCCGCUCUACUGGGCCGCGGUGCUGCGGGGCUGCACAAUGCGCGAGGCUGGGCCGGUAAGCAGGUAAGGCUUUCCUUUUUCUUUUUUCUUUUUCCUUUUUCUGUUUUCUGUUUUUGCAAAUGCUUUUGGAUUCAAAUUUCAAAUACCAUUUUGAAAAGCCGAGAAGUAGAAGAAUUCAAAUAUGGCACUACUAUUUGGAAAUAUUCAAAUGGGGUUCAAGGUUUAAAACAAAAUCCAUUUGAAUCUCAUUUGCAAAAUAGAGAGAAAGGAAUUCAAACUCAAAGAAGGGUGAUUCAUAUUUGAAUCUUCUAGCAAAAUCACACAACAAGAAUUCAAACCACAAGUUGAGAUGCAAAUUUAAAACUCAUGUGACACAAUUAAAUAGACAUGGCAUGGCAUGGAUGAAAAUGUAACAUGUUAUGCAACAAGAAUUAAAUUAUAAACAGGUCCAA
Molecule: long non-coding RNA, 475 nt
Filed under: Brachypodium distachyon (stiff brome)
Lineage: Eukaryota; Viridiplantae; Streptophyta; Magnoliopsida; Poales; Poaceae
Description: long non-coding RNA (BDIS_LNC000737)
Source: RNAcentral